ACAAUACACACAUAAAACUGUCAAAAUGCACAUGUACAUUCAGUAUACAUGGCUUCAUAAAGUGAUUAAAUGGAAUUAGGCAGUUCAAUUUCAUUAGAAAAUGCAGGCUAUUCCAUUUACAUGGGGCAUAAUAUUCAAAUGCAGUUUUGCCUAAUUCUGUCCUAACAAAUGAAAUAUUCAACACCAAGGAAUCACUG
Long non-coding RNA from Etheostoma spectabile (orangethroat darter), 197 nucleotides. RefSeq lists it as uncharacterized. The transcript has 3 exons. Lineage: Eukaryota; Metazoa; Chordata; Actinopteri; Perciformes; Percidae. The record is from RefSeq and is a predicted model, not a curated record.